GAGUUUGAUCGUGGCUCAGGAUGAACGCUAGCGGCAGGCUUAACACAUGCAAGUCGAGGGGUAUAGGUUUUCGGACCUAGAGACCGGCGCACGGGUGCGUAACGCGUAUGCAAUCUACCUUUUACAGAGGGAUAGCCCAGAGAAAUUUGGAUUAAUACCUCAUAGUAUUAUGAUAAGGCAUCUUAUUAUAAUUAAAGUUCCAACGGUAAAAGAUGAGCAUGCGUCCCAUUAGCUAGAUGGUAAGGUAACGGCUUACCAUGGCGACGAUGGGUAGGGGUCCUGAGAGGGAGAUCCCCCACACUGGUACUGAGACACGGACCAGACUCCUACGGGAGGCAGCAGUGAGGAAUAUUGGUCAAUGGGCGCAAGCCUGAACCAGCCAUGCCGCGUGCAGGAUGACGGUCCUAUGGAUUGUAAACUGCUUUUGUACAGGAAGAAACAGUUCUACGUGUAGAACCUUGACGGUACUGUAAGAAUAAGGAUCGGCUAACUCCGUGCCAGCAGCCGCGGUAAC
RNAcentral lists this ribosomal RNA (514 nucleotides) under uncultured Flavobacterium sp. RNAcentral's name for it is "bacterial SSU rRNA". It matches the Rfam family "Bacterial small subunit ribosomal RNA", at positions 9 to 524 of the family's 1533-position model. Lineage: Bacteria; Pseudomonadati; Bacteroidota; Flavobacteriia; Flavobacteriales; Flavobacteriaceae. The record is from RNAcentral.